RNAcentral lists this ribosomal RNA (253 nucleotides) under uncultured bacterium. Its description in RNAcentral is "partial 16S ribosomal RNA". It matches the Rfam family "Bacterial small subunit ribosomal RNA", at positions 524 to 776 of the family's 1533-position model. The record is from RNAcentral.
UACGUACCGUACGAACGUUAUUCGGAAUUACUGGGCUUAAAGGGUUUGUAGGCGGCCUUGUAAGUCAGGUGUGAAAUCCCUCGGCUCAACCGAGGAACGGCGCUUGAUACUGCAAGGCUUGAGGGAGACAGGGGUAAGCGGAACUGAUGGUGGAGCGGUGAAAUGCGUUGAUAUCAUCAGGAACACCGGUGGCGAAAGCGGCUUACUGGGUCUCUUCUGACGCUGAGGAACGAAAGCUAGGGGAGCAAACGGG